This 1154-nucleotide long non-coding RNA is filed under the name Marmota monax (woodchuck). Lineage: Eukaryota; Metazoa; Chordata; Mammalia; Rodentia; Sciuridae. The record is from RNAcentral.
GGGAAUUUCAUAAAAGCUCUUCUUCCACAGAUCCUGAUUUUUAAAACCAGGACUGUUACUUGGGCAUUGGCAUUAUUUUCUUGGACUCACCACUGAUUCCAGUGACCUGGCAGCUUGAGUGUCAGCAUCAUAGGAAUUGAUAACACAGACUCUGAGCUCAUAAUCCUGGCUACUCUGUUGGGUAAAUGGAGAAAGCAACUAAAAAUCUUGAUGCCUCGUGUUUUCCAUGGUGAAGGGAGUACCUGCAUCUUGGGUGGCGUGAGGAUUCAUGAGGUAGUUUCUCUAAAGCACAUGGCUUGGCUCUUUUCACCACUUUUUCUGAUUCCUUUUUUGCCCCUGUGCCCUCUAACUCCUUGUUACAGGUCUUUGGCAAGCGCCUGUCUUUGAGGGCAGACACAACUCAGUCAUCCUCCAGGGCUGAGAUCAGGCCUCCUUUUCUCUACUGAGCCCAUCCCUCCCUUUCCCUCCCGAAGUCUAGGUUUUGGGGCCCCUUCCAUGUUCUAAAAGGACACCACACAGCCUGUCUUUUAUCUAGGAACUGUAUCACUUUUCAAAGGUGAAUACUGGACAUGUUAAAAAAAAACUCAAUUCUUUCAUUGCUGGUUGCACAGCCAGAUUAAUACUCGUCCUAGGUAGUUGUGUGUGCGUUCUGUGGACUCUACAGCAAUGGCCUUGUAGGCAGGGACUCCCAAGGAGGUAGGUUACACCAUCUAACUGAGCUGGUGACCUAUGCUGGGUUCACAAACUCUGACUACUUCAAUAACCACACAACACACAGAAGUACCUUUUCAAAAUCCCAGGAUGGUCCUUUCCAUUGGAAAGAGAGAGAGCGCCACUGGAAUUCUUUAUUCUUAUAUAGGGGACACACUAGGGGAGGUUCCAUGGAACAUUCUAUCCAUAACAGGUCAGGGGUAGUAUCACAAAGGAACAAGAAGGCAGCCCACUCCGUUGGGUAACACCCACUCCAAAGCUUUGCUCCUCUGCCGAGUGGAGAUGGGGAUCCACCUUCUUCCUGGUCAGGGAAGCCAGUCUCCACAUUUCCAUUGCUCAAAGCUGGUGGGUGCUCAGCUCCUAUGUGGCAGCUCCUGACAGGUAGGACCCUACUGAAGUGCCUCCCUCCAGGUGGUACUAACAGGCUCUGCCUUACACAGUCC